CGACGUGCGGCAGGUUGAAGGGAGCGAUUGGGUGGAGGCGAAAUGCCUCACGUAUGCACGCCUUGAGAUAGUUGAGAUGCAUGAUGUCCGACUCUUGCACCAGUCGCUCGCGACCGACCACCCGGUCCUGUUGGGGAACGUAGCAGAAAUUCAAAAUUUUCCUACGUGUCACCAAGAUCUAUCUAUGGAGAAACCAGCAACGAGGGGAAGGAGAGUGCAUCUACAUACCCUUGUAGAUCGCUAAGCGGAAGCGUUCAAGUGAACGGGGUUGAUGGAGUCGUACUCGUCGUGAUUCAAAUCACCGAUGAUCAAGUGCCGAACGUACGGCACUUCCGCGUUCAACACACGUACAACCCGGUGACGUCUCCCACGCCUUGAUCCAGCAAGGAGAGAGGGAGAGGUUGAGGAAGACUCCAUCCAACAGCAGCACAACGGUGUGGUGGUGGUGGAGGAGCGUGGCAAUCCCGCAGGGCUUCGCCAAGCACCAUGGGAGAGGAGGAGUGGGGAGAGACAGGGCUGCACCAAGAGGGAGAGAACUCAUGUGUAUGGCAGCCCCAAACCUCAACUAUAUAUAGGGGGAAGGGGGGGCUGCGCCCCCUUUAGGGUUUCCCACCCCCAAGGGGUGCGGCCAGCCCUAGAUGGCAAAGGGGGUGGCGGCCAAGAGGGGAGAGGAGAGGGAGGCGCACCAAUAUGGGCCUUAAGGCCCAUCUGGACUAGGGUUUGCCCCCUCCCACUCUCCCUUGCGCCUUGGCCCCCUUGUGGGGGGCGCACCAGCCCUCCUAGGGGCUGGUCCCCUCCCACACUUGGCCCACGCAACCUUCUGGGGCAGGUGGCCCCACUUGGUGGACCCCCGGGACCCUCCCGGUGGUCCCGGUACAAUACCGAUAUCGCCCGAAACUUUUCCGGUGACCAAAACAGGACUUCCCAUAUAUAAAUCUUUACCUCCAGACCAUUCCGGAACUCCUCGUGACGUUCGGGAUCUCAUCCGGGACUCCGAACAACAUUCGGUAACCACAUACAAGCUUCCUUUAUAACCCUAGCGUCACCGAACCUUAAGUGUGUAGACCCUACGGGUUCGGGAGACAUGUAGACAUGACCGAGACGUUCUCCGGUCAAUGACCAACAGCGGGAUCUGGAUACCCAUGAUGGCUCCCACAUGUUCCACGAUGAUCUCAUCGGAUGAACCACGGUGUCAAGGACUUAAUCAAUCCCGUAUUCAAUUCCCUUUGUCUAUCGGUAUGUUACUUGCCCGAGACUCGAUCGUCGGCAUCCAAUACCUUGUUCAAUCUCGUUACCGGCAAGUCACUUUACUCGUUCCGUAACACAUCAUCCCGUGAUCAACUCCUUGGUCACAUUGCGCAUAUGAUGAUGUCCUACUGAGUGGGCCCAGAGAUACCUCUCCGUUUACACGGAGUGACAAAUCCCAGUCUCGAUCCGCAUAAAACAAUGGAUACUUUCGGAGAUACCUGUAGUGCACCUUUAUAGUCACCCAGUUACGUUGUGACGUUUGAUACACCCAAAGCACUCCUACGGUAUCCAGGAGUUACACGCUCUCAUGGUCAAAGGAAGAGAUACUUGACAUUUGGCAAAGCUCUAGCAAACGAACUACACGAUCUUUGUGCUAGGCUUAGGAUUGGGUCUUGUCCAUCACAUCAUUCUCCUAAUGAUGUGAUCCCGUUAUCAACGACAUCCAAUGUCCAUAGCCAGGAAACCAUGACUAUCUGUUGAUCACAACGAGCUAGUCAACUAGAGGCUCACUAGGGACAUGGUGUUGUCUAUGUAUUCACACGUGUAUUACGAUUUCCGGAUAAUACAGUUAUAGCAUGAAUAAAAGACUAUUAUCAUGAACAAAGAAAUAUAAUAAUAAUCAAUUUAUUAUUGCCUCUUGGGCAUAUUUCCAACAGUCUCCCAGUUGCACUAGAGUCAAUAAUCCAGUUCACAUCGCCAUGUGAUUAACACUCACAGGUCACAUCGCCAUGUGACUAAUACCCAAGAGUUUACUAGAGUCAGUAGUCUAGUUCACAUCACUAUGUGAUUAACACUCAAUGAGUUUUAUGUUUGAUCAUGUUGCUUGUGAGAGAGGUUUUAGUCAACGGGUCUGAACCUUUCAGAUCCGUGUGUGCUUUACAAAUCUCUAUGUCAUCUCCUAGAUGCAGCUACCACGCUCUAUUUGGAGCUAUUCCAAAUAACUGUUCUACUUGGAGCUAUUCUAAAUUAUUGCUCCAUUAUAUGUAUCCGGUCUCUCUACUCAGAGCUAUCGGAUAGGUGUCAAGCUUGCAUCGACAUAACCCUUUACGACGAACUCUUUUACCACCUCCAUAAUCGAGAAAAUUCCUUAGUCCACUAGUUACUAAGAAUAACUUUGACCGCUGUCCUGUGAGCCAUUCUUGGAUCACUCUUGUACCCCUUGACUAACUCAUGGCAAGGCACACUUCAGGUGCGGUACACAGCAUAGCAUACUGAAGAGCCUACGUCUUAAGCAUAGGGGACGACCUUCGUCCUUUCUCUCUAUUCUGCCGUGGUCGAGCUUUAAGUCUUAACUUCGUACCUUACAACUCAGGCAAGAACUCCUUCUUUGACUGGUCCAUCUUGAACACCUUCAAGAUCAUGUCAAGGUAUGUGCUCAUUUGAAAGUAUUAUUAGGCAUUUUGAUCUAUCCUUAUAGAUCUCGAUGCUCAAUGUUCAAGUAGCUUAAUCCAGGUUUUCUAUUGAAAAACACCUUUCAAAUAACCCUAUAUGCUUUCUAGAAAUUCUACAUCAUUUCUGAUCAACAUAUACUCAUCAGAAAUUCUAUAGUGCUCCCACUCACUUCUUUGGAAAUACAAGUUUCUCAUAUACUCAUCAGAAAAUCUUUGACCAUCAUCAAAGCAUACAUUCCAACUCCGAGAUGCUCACUCCAGUCCUUAAAAGGAUUGCUGGAGCUUUGCAUACUUAUUAGCAUCUUUUGGGAUUGACAAAACCUUCCGGUUGUAUCACAUACAACCUUUCCUCAAUAAAAUCAUCGAGGAAACAAUGUUUUGACAUCCUAUCUGCAGGAUUUCAUAAAUAAUGCAGUAAUCGCUAAUAUAAUUCCAACAGACUCUUAGCAUCGCUACGAGUGAGAAAAUCUCAUCGUAGUCAACUCCUUGAACUUGUCGGAAAACAUCUUAACGACAAGUCGAGCUUUCUUAAUGGUGACAUUUACCAUCAUUGUUCGUCUUCCUUUUGAAAUCCAUCUGUACUCAUUAGCCUUACGACCAUCGAGCCAUUUUGCCAAAGUCUACACUUUGUUUUCAUACAUGGAUCCUCUCUCGGAUUUUAUGGCCUCAAGCCAUUUAUCGGAAUCCGGGCCCACCAUCGCUUCUCCAUAGCUCGUAGGUUCAUUGUUGUCUAGCAACAUGACUUCCAAGACAGGAUUACCGUACCACUCUGAAGUAGUACGUAUCCUUGUCACCCUACGAGGUACGGCAGUGAUUUGAUCUGAAACUUCAUGAUCAAUAUCAUAAGCUUCCACUUCAAUUGGUGUAUGUGCCACGGGAACAACUUCCUGUGCCCUGCUACACACUGGUUGAAGUGAUGGUUCAAUAACCUCAUCAAGUCUCCACCAUCCUCCCACUCAACUCUUUCGAGAGAAACCUUUCCUCGAGAAAGGACCCGAUUCUAGAAACAAUUCAUAUUGCUUUCGGAUCUGAAUUAGGAGGUAUACCCAACUGUUUUGGGUGUCCUAUGAAGAUGUAUUUUAUCCGCUUUGGGUUCGAGCUUAUCAAUCCUGAAACUUUUUCACAUAAGCGUCACAGCCCCAAACCUUUAAGAAACGACAACUUAGGUUUCUCCAAAUGGUGUCGUCUCAACGGAAUUAUGUGGUGCCCUAUUUAAAGUGAAUGUGGUUGUCUCUAAUGCCUAACCCAUGAACGAUAGUGGUAAUUCGAUAAGAGACAUCAUGGUACGCACCAUAUCCAAUAGGGUGCAACUAUGAUGUUCGGACACACCAUCACACUAUGGUGUUCCAGGCAGUAUUAAUUGCGAAACAAUUUCCACAAUGUCUUAAUUGUGUGCCAAAACUCCUAACUCAGAUAUUCAUCUCUAUGAUCAUAUCAUAGACAUUUAAUCCUCUUGUCACAAUGAUCUUCUACUUUACUCUGAAAUUACUUGAACCAUUCAAUAACUCAGACUUGUGUUUCAUCAAGUAAAUAUUCUCAACAUCUACUCAAAUCAUCUGUGAAGUAAGAACAUAACGAUAUUCACUGCAUGCCUCAGCACUCAUUGGACUGCACACAUCAAAAUGUGUUGCUUCCAACAAGUUGCUAUCUUGUUCCAUUUUACUGAAAACGAGGCUUUUCAGUCAUCUUGCCCAUGUGGUAUGAUUUGCAUAUCUCAAGUGAUUCAAAAUCAAGUGAGUCCAAACGGUCCAUUUGCAUGGAGUUUCUUCAUGCAUAUACACCAACAGACAUGGUUCGCAUGUCUCAAACUUUUCAAAAAUGAGUGAGUCCAAAGAUCCAUCAACAUGGAGCUUCUUCAUGCGUUUUAAACCAAUAUGACUUACAUGGCAGUGCCACCAGUAAGUGGUACUAUCAUUACUAUCUUUUGGCAUGAAAAUGUGUAUCACUACGAUCGAGAUUCAAUAAACCAUUUUAGGUGCAAGACCACUGAAGGUAUUAUUCACAUAAAUAGAGUAACUAUUAUUCUCCUUAAAUGAAUAACCGUAUUGCGAUAGACAUAAUCCAAUCAUGUCUAUGCUCAACGCAAACACACAAUGAACGUUAUUCAGGUUUAAUACUAAUCUUGAUGGUAGAGGGAGCGUACGAUGUUUGAUCACAUCAGACUUGGAAACACUUCCAACACAUAUCGUCAGCUCUCCUUUAGCUAGUCUCCGUUUAUUCCGUAGCUUUUAUUUCGAGUUACUAACACUUAGCAACCGAACCGGUAUCUAAUACCCUGGUGCUACUAGGAGUACUAGUAAAGUACACAUUAACAUAAUGUAUAUCCAAUAUACUUCUAUCGACUUUGCCAGCCUUCUCAUCUACCAAGUAUCUAGGGUAAUUCUGCUCCAGUGGCUGUUCCCCUUAUUACAGAAGCACUUAGUCUCGGGUUUUGGGUUCAACCUUGGGUCUCUUCACUAGAGUAGCAGCUGAAUUGCCGUUUCAUGAAGUAUCCCUUUGUUCCCUUGCCCUUCUUGAAACUAGUGGUUUCACCAACCAUCAACAAUUGAUGCUCUUUCUUGAUUUCUACUUUCGCGGUGUCAAACAUCGCGAAUACCUCAAGGAUCAUCAUAUCUAUCCCUGAUAUGUUAUAGUUCAUCACGAAGCUCUAGCAGCUUGGUGGCAAUGACUUUGGAGAAACAUCACUAUCUCAUUUGGAAGAUCAACUCCCACUCGAUUCAAGUGAUUGUUGCACUCAGACAAUCUGAGCAGAAGCUCAACGAUUGAGAUUUUCUCCCUUAGUUUGUAGGCUAAGAAAAUUGUCGGAGGUCUUAUACCUCUUGACGUGGGCACGAGCCUGAAAUCCCAAUUUCAGCCCUCGAAGCAUCUCAUAUGUUUCGCGAUGUUUCGAAAACGUCUUUCGUGCCUCAACUCUAAACCGUUUAACUGAACUAUCACGUAGUUAUCAAGACGUGUAUGUCCGAUGUUCACAACAUCCACAAACGACGUUUGGGGUUCAGCAUACUGAGCGGUGCAUUAAGGACAUAAGCUUUCUACUGAUCGCAUAAUCGCUACUAUUAACUUUCAACUAUAAUUUUCUCUAGGAACAUAUCUAAACAGUAGAACUAUAGCGCGAGCUACGACAUAAUUUGCAAAAGGUCUUUUGACUAUGUUCAGGAUAAUUAAGUUCAUCUUAUGAACUCCCACUCAGAUAGACAUCCCUCUGGUCAUCUAAGUGAUCACAUGAUCCGAGUCAACUAGGCCGUGUCCGAUCAUCACGUGAGACGGACUAGUCAUCAUCGGUGAACAUCUUCAUGUUGAUCGUAUCUUCUAUACGACUCAUGCUCGACCUUUCGGUCUCCGUGUUCCGAGGCCAUGUCUGCACAUGCUAGGAUCAUCAAGUUAACCCUAAGUGUUUCCGCUGUGUAAAACUGUCUUACACCCGUUGUAUGUGAACGUAAGAAUCCAUCACACCCGAUCAUCACGUGGUGCUUAGAAGCGACAAACUGUAGCAACGGUGCACAACUAGGGGAGAACACUUCUUGAAAUUUUGUAAGGGAUCAUCUUAUUUACUACCGUCGUCCUAAGUAAACAAGAUGCAUAAUCAUAAUAAACAUCACAUGCAAUUAUAUAGUUGUGACAUGAUAUGGCCAAUAUCAUAUAGCUCCAUUGAUCUCCAUCUUCGGGGCUCCAUGAUCAUCUUGUCACCGGCUUGACACCAUGAUCUCCAUCAUCAUGAUCUCCAUCAUCGUGUCUUCAUGAAGUUGUCACGCCAAUGACUACUUCUACUUCUAUGGCUAACGCGUUUAGCAAUAAAGUAAAGUAAGUUACAUGGCGUUCUUCAAUGACACGCAGGUCAUACAAUAAAUUAAAGACAACUCCUAUGGCUCCUGCCGGUUGUCAUACUCAUCGACAUGGAAGUCGUGAAUCCUAUUACAAGAACAUGAUCAAUCUCAUACAUCACAUAUCAUUCAUCACAUUCUUCUUGGCCAUAUCACAUCACAUAGCAUACCCUGCAAAAACAAGUUAGACGUCCUCUAAUUGUUGUUUGCAUGUUUUACGUGGCUGCUAUGGGUUUCUAGCAAGAACGUUUCUUACCUACGCAAUACCACAACGUGAUAUGCCAAUUGCUAUUUACCCUUCAUAAGGACCCUUUUCAUCGAAUCCGUUCCGACUAAAGUGGGAGAGACUGGCACCCGCUAGCCACCUUAUGCACCAAGUGCAUGUCAAUCGAUGGAACCUGUCUCACGUAAGAGUACGUGUAAGGUCGGUCCGGGCCGCUUCAUCCCACAAUACCGUCGAAACAAGAUUGGACUAGUAACGGUAAGCAUAUUGAACAAAAUCAACGCCCACAACUACUUUGUGUUCUACUCGUGCAAAGAAUCUACGCAAUAGACCUAGCUCAUGAUGCCACUGUUGGGGAACGUAGCAGAAAUUCAAAAUUUUCCUACGUGUCACCAAGAUCUAUCUAUGGAGAAACCAGCAACGAGGGGAAGGAGAGUGCAUCUACAUACCCUUGUAGAUCGCUAAGCGGAAGCGUUCAAGUGAACGGGGUUGAUGGAGUCGUACUCGUCGUGAUUCAAAUCACCGAUGAUCAAGUGUCGAACGUACGGCACCUCCGCGUUCAACACACGUACAGCCCGGUGACGUUUCCCACGCCUUGAUCCAGCAAGGAGAGAGGGAGAGGUUGAGGAAGACUCCAUCCAACAGCAGCACAACGGCGUGGUGGUGGUGGAGGAGCGUGGCAAUCCCGCAGGGCUUCGCCAAGCACCAUGGGAGAGGAGGAGUGGGGAGAGACAGGGCUGCACCAAGAGGGAGAGAACUCAUGUGUAUGGCAGCCCCAAACCUCAACUAUAUAUAGGGGGAAGGAGGGGCUGCGCCCCCUUUAGGGUUUCCCACCCCCAAGGGGUGCGGCCAGCCCUAGAUGGCAAAGGGGGUGGCGGCCAAGAGGGGAGAGGAGAGGGAGGCGCACCAAUAUGGGCCUUAAGGCCCAUCUGGACUAGGGUUUGCCCCCUCCCACUCUCCCUUGUGCCUUGGCCCCCUUGUGGGGGGCGCACCAGCCCUCCUAGGGGCUGGUCCCCUCCCACACUUGGCCCACGCAAUCUUCUGGGGCAGGUGGCCCCACUUGGUGGACCCCCGGGACCCUCCCGGUGGUUCCGGUACAAUACCGAUAUCGCCCGAAACUUUUCCGGUGACCAAAACAGGACUUCCCAUAUAUAAAUCUUUACCUCCGGACCAUUCCGGAACUCCUCGUGACGUCCGGGAUCUCAUCCGGGACUUCGAACAACAUUCGGUAACCACAUACAAGCUUCCUUUAUAACCCUAGCGUCACCGAACCUUAAGUGUGUAGACCCUAUGGGUUCGGGAGACAUGUAGACAUGACCGAGACGUUCUCCGGUCAAUAACCAACAGCGGGAUCUGGAUAUCCAUGAUGGCUCCCACAUGUUCCACGAUGAUCUCAUCGGAUGAACCACGAUGUCAAGGACUUAAUCAAUCCCGUAUUCAAUUCCCUUUGUCUAUCGGUAUGUUACUUGCCCGAGACUCGAUCGUCGGCAUCCAAUACCUUGUUCAAUCUCGUUACCGGCAAGUCACUUUACUCGUUCCGUAACACAUCAUCCCGUGAUCAACUCCUUGGUCACAUUGCGCAUAUGAUGAUGUCCUACCGAGUGGGCCCAGAGAUACCUCUCCGUUUACACGGAGUGACAAAUCCCAGUCUCGAUCCGCAUAAAACAAUAGAUACUUUCGAAGAUACUUGUAGUGCACCUUUAUAGUCACCCAGUUACGUUGUGAUGUUUGAUACACCCAAAGCACUCCUACGGUAUCUAGGAGUUACACGCUCUCAUGGUCAAAGGAAGAGAUACUUGACAUUUGGCAAAGCUCUAGCAGACGAACUACACGAUCUUUGUGCUAGGCUUAGGAUUGGGUCUUGUCCAUCACAUCAUUCUCCUAAUGAUGUGAUCCCGUUAUCAACGACAUCCAAUGUCCAUAGCCAGAAAACCAUGACUAUCUGUUGAUCACAACGAGCUAGUCAACUAGAGGCUCACUAGGGACAUGGUGUUGUCUAUGUAUUCACACGUGUAUUAUGAUUUCCGGAUAAUACAGUUAUAGCAUGAAUAAAAGACUAUUAUCAUGAACAAAGAAAUAUAAUAAUAAUCAAUUUAUUAUUGCCUCUAGGGCAUACUUCCAACAGGUCCAUCUCCUCCACCGCCUUGGCCAGCAAUUCUGGGUUGUUCACCAUCUCCGCCAGCGCCCACUCCACUGCGUUUGACGGGUUAUCUAUGGCCGCUAAUAUUAUGCCCUGCAUGCAUUCCAUGG
This 8933-nucleotide long non-coding RNA is filed under the name Triticum aestivum (bread wheat). Its description in RNAcentral is "long non-coding RNA (TAES_LNC018813)". Lineage: Eukaryota; Viridiplantae; Streptophyta; Magnoliopsida; Poales; Poaceae. The record is from RNAcentral.